AGGCCCGGUGGCGUAGCAGUUAACUACUCACUUGGUGUCCCAGAAGGGGCGCGGGUUCGAAUCCUGCAGGGCUCAUUUAACCAAUUUCCACUGUUAAAUCACCAAACAGUACCGGGUGUAACCGGCCCCUUUUAAGGUGCUGGCUAUAACCGGGCGCUAAAUUCUCACUGAUCUUGUGGGGCUAGAACCCCCUGAGUGCUUCAAGUUAGAUCAGUACUGGAUAGGUAAGGUGUGGGGUGGAGAAACCCGCAGGAUAGUGAAUCAUUGUCAAGCUUAACUGGCCAGGGAUUCACCGCCACUUCACCCACUACCAUCUAGGCACCUCUAAAUUCCGGGGAAUUAAGAGAUAAAAACUACCCGAUAAGGGCACCCCGGGCCUAGUGAGGAUCUAGGUGAGGCGAGGCCUAGGCACCACUAGAUGAUUAGUGCAAGCAAGGCCAUGACAGCCAAUUGAUAGGCUGGAAUGCUGAGAUUGACAGCUGGAAGGUUAGAGGAUUUAACUAGAACUGAGUAGCUCUGAUGUUAUUCUUAGUGAGAAUCCCACUUAGAUAGACUAGUUAAGGAACUCAGAUGGGCAGUGGCAUUCUAGAGAGAAUGAUAACCUCUAAUGAUGACUCAAGAGAACAGAGGCAGCAGCUGGUUAUAUAGAGUGUUAAAAUAUGUAUAUAGCUCAAGAUGUAAACUGCAGAGGUUUAUUCUGUAGUUUUAAAUUUUCUUUGUAAUAGUUACUAUUUUCCUUUUAUAUAUAUAUUGAGU
RNAcentral lists this small RNA (756 nucleotides) under Histoplasma capsulatum. RNAcentral describes it as "hypothetical RNA". The record is from RNAcentral. Lineage: Eukaryota; Fungi; Ascomycota; Eurotiomycetes; Onygenales; Ajellomycetaceae. RNAcentral also lists the same sequence under 1 other name.